Molecule: long non-coding RNA, 543 nt
Filed under: Androctonus crassicauda
Lineage: Eukaryota; Metazoa; Arthropoda; Arachnida; Scorpiones; Buthidae
Source: RNAcentral
UGUUCACAAAGUUAGACAAAUGCUGCAAUUCUGCAGAAUUCAAUAUAAUUUAGAGAAACUUAAGAAAUGAUGAGAUGAUGUGUUGGUAAUGAAAAUGGCUAAAUGUCCAAGAAUGAAAAUCCUGCUUCUGAAAAAAGAACUGUUUAUUUAAUUCUAUUCAGUUUGAUAUGGAAUGGCAGGUUAGAAAAUUGUUAUCUUUUAUCAAUGCUGAAGGAUGCAUUUCCAUCCAGAAAGAAGAACCUUGUAUUACAUUUGCUGGAAUAUUUAAACUGCACAGAAAUUAAAGACAAUGAAUCUAUCACACUCAUCGAAUAAGAAAAGAACAUUGGAUCAUAGUACAAGAAAAUGAACAAAUACAGAAAUAUUAACAUGUAAAUCAAAUUCACACUUAGCCAUCAUAUAUAGUUUAUUUCAAAGACUAUUUAUUAUUCAACUCUAAAAUCUUUCUCUUCUAUUUUUUCAAUUUAUUUUUUAUUGCAACUUUUACUUCCGUUAAACUGCUUCCUAUGGACUCAAUUCACUAAGAAAAGUAAUUCCAGCACU